This 497-nucleotide ribosomal RNA is filed under the name uncultured bacterium. RNAcentral describes it as "partial 16S ribosomal RNA". It matches the Rfam family "Bacterial small subunit ribosomal RNA", at positions 28 to 507 of the family's 1533-position model. The record is from RNAcentral.
GAUGAACGCUGGCGGCGUGCCUAAUACAUGCAAGUCGAGCGAACAGACGAGGAGCUUGCUCCUCUGACGUUAGCGGCGGACGGGUGAGUAACACGUGGAUAACCUACCUAUAAGACUGGGAUAACUUCGGGAAACCGGAGCUAAUACCGGAUAAUAUAUUGAACCGCAUGGUUCAAUAGUGAAAGACGGUUUUGCUGUCACUUAUAGAUGGAUCCGCGCCGCAUUAGCUAGUUGGUAAGGUAACGGCUUACCAAGGCAACGAUGCGUAGCCGACCUGAGAGGGGGAUCGGCCACACUGGAACGGAGACACGGUCCAGACUACUACGGGAGGCAGCAGUAGGGAAUCUUCCGCAAUGGGCGAAAGCCUGACGGAGCAACGCCGCGUGAGUGAUGAAGGUCUUCGGAUCGUAAAACUCUGUUAUUAGGGAAGAACAAAUGUGUAAGUAACUAUGCACGUCUUGACGGUACCUAAUCAGAAAGCCACGGCUAACUACGUG